This 821-nucleotide ribosomal RNA is filed under the name uncultured eukaryote. RNAcentral's name for it is "SSU rRNA". It matches the Rfam family "Eukaryotic small subunit ribosomal RNA", at positions 63 to 908 of the family's 1831-position model. The record is from RNAcentral.
GUAUAAAUAGUAUACAGUGAAACUGCGAAUGGCUCAUUAAAACAGUUAUAGUUUAUUUGAUAAUUGAAUACUACAUGGAUAACCGUGGUAAUUCUAGAGCUAAUACAUGCGUUAAAACCCGACUUUUUGGAAGGGUUGUAUUUAUUAGAUACCAAACCAAUAUUCCUUCGGGUCUAUUGUGAUGAUUCAUAAUAACUGAUCGAAGCUGGGCCUGCCCAGCUAAAUCAUUCAAGUUUCUGCCCUAUCAGCUUUCGAUGGUAGUGUAUUGGACUACCAUGGCAGUCACGGGUAACGGGGAAUUAGGGUUCGAUUCCGGAGAGGGAGCCUGAGAAACGGCUACCACUUCUAAGGAAGGCAGCAGGCGCGUAAAUUACCCAAUCCUGACUCAGGGAGGUAGUGACAAGAAAUAACAACUCGGGGACUUCACGUCUUACGAGAUUGCAAUGAGAACAAUUUAAAAACCUUAACGAGGAACAAUUGGAGGGCAAGUCUGGUGCCAGCAGCCGCGGUAAUUCCAGCUCCAAUAGCGUAUAUUAAAGUUGUUGCAGUUAAAAAGCUCGUAGUUGAACUUAUGGCGAUUGCAUAAGCUGGCUUCGGUCGUUUAUGUGGUCGUCAUCCGCUUGGGAACCCCGUUCGGUCUUCAUUGGUCGGCGGGAGGAUCAGGCAUUUUACUUUGAAAAAAUAAGAGUGUUCAAGGCAGGCAAUCGCCAUGAAUACACAAGCAUGGAAUAAUGGAAUAGGACUGUGAUCCAUUUUAUUGGUUAUUGGAUUACAGUAAUGAUUAAUAGGGACAGUUGGGGGCAUUAGUAUUUAAUUGUCAG